GGUUCCAUAGUGUAGCGGUUAGCAUGUCUGCUUUACACACAGAAGGUCCUGGGUUCGUGUCCCAGAGGAGCUA
Molecule: transfer RNA, 73 nt
Filed under: Pteropus alecto (black flying fox)
Lineage: Eukaryota; Metazoa; Chordata; Mammalia; Chiroptera; Pteropodidae
Rfam family: tRNA
About the family: Transfer RNA (tRNA) molecules are approximately 80 nucleotides in length. Their secondary structure includes four short double-helical elements and three loops (D, anti-codon, and T loops).
Source: Rfam by way of RNAcentral